This 483-nucleotide ribosomal RNA is filed under the name uncultured bacterium. RNAcentral describes it as "partial 16S ribosomal RNA". It matches the Rfam family "Bacterial small subunit ribosomal RNA", at positions 29 to 506 of the family's 1533-position model. The record is from RNAcentral.
AUUGAACGCUGGCGGCAUGCUUUACACAUGCAAGUCGAACGGCAGCGCGGGCUUCGGCCUGGCGGCGAGUGGCGAACGGGUGAGUAAUACAUCGGAACGUGCCCAGUAGUGGGGGAUAGCUCGGCGAAAGCCGGAUUAAUACCGCAUACGACCUGAGGGUGAAAGCGGGGGACCUUCGGACCUCGCGCUAUUGGAGCGGCCGAUGGCAGAUUAGCUAGUUGGUGGGGUAAAGGCCUACCAAGGCGACGAUCUGUAGCUGGUCUGAGAGGACGACCAGCCACACUGGGACUGAGACACGGCCCAGACUCCUACGGGAGGCAGCAGUGGGGAAUUUUGGACAAUGGGCGAAAGCCUGAUCCAGCAAUGCCGCGUGUGUGAUGAAGGCCUUCGGGUUGUAAAGCACUUUUGGCGGGAACGAAAAGGACUGUGCCAAGACCACGGUUCGAUGACGGUACCCGCAGAAUAAGCACCGGCUAACUACGU